This 349-nucleotide ribosomal RNA is filed under the name uncultured bacterium. Its description in RNAcentral is "partial 16S ribosomal RNA". It matches the Rfam family "Bacterial small subunit ribosomal RNA", at positions 338 to 684 of the family's 1533-position model. The record is from RNAcentral.
CCUACGGGAGGCUGGAGUGAGGAAUAUUGGUCAAUGGGCGGGAGCCUGAACCAGCCAAGUCGCGUGAGGGAAGACGGUCCUAUGGAUUGUAAACCUCUGUAGGCGGGGAGCAAGGCCGGGCACGUGUGCCCGGAGGGAGAGGACCCGCAGAAGAAGCAGCGGCUAACUCCGUGCCAGCAGCCGCGGUAAUACGGAGGAUGAGAGCGUUAUCCGGAUUUCUUGGGUUUAAGGGGGGCGUAGGCGGAUUUUUAAGUCAGCGGUAAAAUGUCCGGGCUCAACCCGGGCCGGCCGUUGAAACUGGGGAUCUUUCGUGGGCGAGAACUAUGCGGACUGCGUGGUGUAGCGGUGC